This 327-nucleotide ribosomal RNA is filed under the name uncultured archaeon. Its description in RNAcentral is "partial 16S ribosomal RNA". It matches the Rfam family "Archaeal small subunit ribosomal RNA", at positions 321 to 648 of the family's 1478-position model. The record is from RNAcentral.
CCCUACGGGGCGCAGCAGGCGCGAAAACUCUACAAUGCAGGCAACUGCGAUAGGGGAACAUCGAGUGGUCCUCAUAUUGGGGGCCUGUCCCCCCGCCUAAAAAGCGGGGGUUAGCAAGGGCCGGGCAAGACCGGUGCCAGCCGCCGCGGUAAUACCGGCGGCUCGAGUGGUGGCCGAUAUUAUUGAGUCUAAAGGGUCCGUAGCCGGCUUCGCAAGUCUCUCGGGAAAUCCAGCGGCUUAACCGUUGGUCGUCCGGGGGGUACUGCGUUGCUUGGGACUGGGAGAGGUAGGAGGUACUCAGGGGGUAGGAGUGAAAUCCUGUAAUCC